RNAcentral lists this ribosomal RNA (493 nucleotides) under uncultured bacterium. RNAcentral describes it as "partial 16S ribosomal RNA". It matches the Rfam family "Bacterial small subunit ribosomal RNA", at positions 29 to 523 of the family's 1533-position model. The record is from RNAcentral.
AACGAACGCUGGCGGCAGGCUUAACACAUGCAAGUCGAACGGUAACAGGUUAAGCUGACGAGUGGCGAACGGGUGAGUAAUGCAUCGGAACGUGCCCGGUCGUGGGGGAUAACGCAGCGAAAGCUGCGCUAAUACCGCAUACGAUCUGAGGAUGAAAGCGGGGGACCGUAAGGCCUCGCGCGAUCGGAGCGGCCGAUGUCAGAUUAGGUAGUUGGUGGGGUAAAGGCUCACCAAGCCAACGAUCUGUAGCUGGUCUGAGAGGACGACCAGCCACACUGGGACUGAGACACGGCCCAGACUCCUACGGGAGGCAGCAGUGGGGAAUUUUGGAUAAUGGGCGAAAGCCUGAUCCAGCAAUGCCGCGUGCAGGAAGAAGGCCUUCGGGUUGUAAACUGCUUUUGUACGGAGCGAAAAGGUCUCCUCUAAUACAGGGGGCUCAUGACGGUACCGUAAGAAUAAGCACCGGCUAACUACGUGCCAGCAGCCGCCGUAA